This 188-nucleotide ribosomal RNA is filed under the name uncultured Glomus. Its description in RNAcentral is "partial 18S ribosomal RNA". It matches the Rfam family "Eukaryotic small subunit ribosomal RNA", at positions 1625 to 1831 of the family's 1831-position model. Lineage: Eukaryota; Fungi; Glomeromycota; Glomeromycetes; Glomerales; Glomeraceae. The record is from RNAcentral.
CAGUCAUAGCUGGCGAUACGUCCUGCCUUGUACACACGCCGUGUACUACCGAUGAAUGGCUUAGUGAGCCCUCGGAUUGAGAUUGAGACUGCAACAGGCUUCGUUCUUAAGAAGUUGGUCAAACUGGUCAUUAGAGGAAGUAAAAGUCGUAACCAAGGUUCCGUAGGUGAACCUGCGGAAGAUCAUUA